GAUGAACGCUGGCGGCGUGCCUAAUACAUGCAAGUCGAGCGAACAGACGAGGAGCUUGCUCCUCUGACGUUAGCGGCGGACGGGUGAGUAACACGUGGAUAACCUACCUAUCAGACUGGGAUAACUUCGGGAAACCGGCGCUAAUACCGGAUAAUAUAUUGAACCGCAUGGUUCAAUAGUGAAAGACGGUUUUGCUGUCACUUAUAGAUGGAUCCGCGCCGCAUUAGCUAGUUGGUAAGGUAACGGCUUACCAAGGCAACGAUGCGUAGCCGACCUGAGAGGGUGAUCGGCCACACUGGAACUGAGACACGGUCCAGACUCCUACGGGAGGCAGCAGUAGGGAAUCUUCCGCAAUGGGCGAAAGCCUGACGGAGCAACGCCGCGUGAGUGAUGAAGGUCUUCGGAUCGUAAAACUCUGUUAUUAGGGAAGAACAAAUGUGUAAGUAACUAUGCACGUCUUGACGGUACCUAAUCAGAAAGCCACGGCUAACUACGUG
RNAcentral lists this ribosomal RNA (497 nucleotides) under uncultured bacterium. Its description in RNAcentral is "partial 16S ribosomal RNA". It matches the Rfam family "Bacterial small subunit ribosomal RNA", at positions 28 to 507 of the family's 1533-position model. The record is from RNAcentral.